UACGUAGGGUGCAAGCGUUAAUCGGAAUUACUGGGCGUAAAGCGUGCGCAGGCGGCUAUGCAAGACAGAUGUGAAAUCCCCGGGCUCAACCUGGGAACUGCAUUUGUGACUGCAUGGCUAGAGUACGGCAGAGGGGGAUGGAAUUCCGCGUGUAGCAGUGAAAUGCGUAGAUAUGCGGAGGAACACCGAUGGCGAAGGCAAUCCCCUGGGCCUGUACUGACGCUCAUGCACGGAAGCGUGGGGAGCAAACAGG
This 253-nucleotide ribosomal RNA is filed under the name uncultured bacterium. RNAcentral's name for it is "partial 16S ribosomal RNA". It matches the Rfam family "Bacterial small subunit ribosomal RNA", at positions 524 to 776 of the family's 1533-position model. The record is from RNAcentral.